UACGUAGGGGGCAAGCGUUGUCCGGAAUUAUUGGGCGUAAAGGGCGCGUAGGCGGAUAAUUAAGUCCGGUGUGAAAGAUCAGGGCUCAACCCUGAGAGUGCAUCGGAAACUGGCUAUCUUGAGGACAGGAGAGGAAAGUGGAAUUCCACGUGUAGCGGUGAAAUGCGUAGAUAUGUGGAGGAACACCAGUGGCGAAGGCGACUUUCUGGACUGUAACUGACGCUGAGGCGCGAAAGCGUGGGUAGCAAAC
Molecule: ribosomal RNA, 250 nt
Filed under: uncultured bacterium
Lineage: Bacteria
Description: partial 16S ribosomal RNA
Rfam family: Bacterial small subunit ribosomal RNA
Source: RNAcentral